RNAcentral lists this transfer RNA (69 nucleotides) under Trichonephila inaurata madagascariensis. It matches the Rfam family "tRNA". From Rfam's summary of the family: Transfer RNA (tRNA) molecules are approximately 80 nucleotides in length. Their secondary structure includes four short double-helical elements and three loops (D, anti-codon, and T loops). Lineage: Eukaryota; Metazoa; Arthropoda; Arachnida; Araneae; Nephilidae. The record is from Rfam by way of RNAcentral.
GCCGCUAUAGCUCAGUGUCUGAGCGUUGGCUGUAACCAAAGGUCGCAAGUCUGAAUCUUGUUGGCGGCA